CCUACGGGUGGCUGCAGUGGGGAAUAUUGGACAAUGGGCGAAAGCCUGAUCCAGCCAUGCCGCGUGUGUGAAGAAGGCCUUCGGGUUGUAAAGCACUUUCAGUGGGGAAGAAAGCCUUGGGGCUAAUACCCUCGAGGAAGGACAUCACCCACAGAAGAAGCACCGGCUAACUCCGUGCCAGCAGCCGCGGUAAUACGGAGGGUGCGAGCGUUAAUCGGAAUUACUGGGCGUAAAGCGCGCGUAGGCGGUCUGAUAAGCCGGUUGUGAAAGCCCCGGGCUCAACCUGGGAACGGCAUCCGGAACUGUCAGGCUGGAGUGCAGGAGAGGAAGGUAGAAUUCCCGGUGUAGCGGUGAAAUGCGUAGAGAUCGGGAGGAAUACCAGUGGCGAAGGCGGCCUUCUGGACUGACACUGACGCUGAGGUGCGAAAGCGUGGGUAGCAAACAGGAUUAGAUACCCUAGUAGUC
This 465-nucleotide ribosomal RNA is filed under the name Vreelandella stevensii. RNAcentral's name for it is "partial 16S ribosomal RNA". It matches the Rfam family "Bacterial small subunit ribosomal RNA", at positions 338 to 795 of the family's 1533-position model. Lineage: Bacteria; Pseudomonadati; Pseudomonadota; Gammaproteobacteria; Oceanospirillales; Halomonadaceae. The record is from RNAcentral.